AGCGAUAUGUUAUCAGCCAUACAAGAUACAACCAAGCACCAAUGUUUGUGAAUUCUACUGCGACGCCGUGCGCGCGAAUACCGCACAGCAACACACUGUUAUGAUCCCUCGAUUUACCUGCUAAUUGGAUAUACCAGCCUCAUUAGCAAUCCUCUGCCGUAUAUUUUUGAACAUUUUCCCAAAAAAUUGGUAUUUAUUGUAUGUAAAUAAGAGCACAGUCGUUUAAGUCAAUUUAAAUAUGUUAUCAUAUUGCUGUCUGGAUGUGUUCUACGGGCAUUUUUAUAUAGCAGCAAAUUAUGUCGCUUGUGCUAUGUAAGGCUCUGCAGUAACGCCGUCCUUCCUCUGGAAUGAUGAGCACGGGGCGGGCGCUGCAGGACGUGGACCGGGGCUGGGCGUGGGUGGUGCUGUUUGGCGGCUGCCUGACGCAGGCCAUCGGCGACGGACUGCGCCAGACAUCCGGCAUCUUAUUCUCCGAAUUCAUCGAUAAUCUCGGGCUGACACGCCCGCAGGCGGCCGCCGUCAUCGCCGUUUUCAAUGGCAUGUUCAUGAUACCAGCACCGCUUGUAAGUCUUGUGGCGCAUAAAGUUGGACUCCGUGUUACAACUGUCGCCGGGGCUAUUCUCUGCGCUGCCGGUUAUCUCGGCAGUUCCUUCUGUCAUUCGUUUUGGCCGCUGCUAAUUACGUUCGGAGCUAUGAAUGGUUUGGGCAACUGCAUGGUGUACAUCCCGACGCUGGCGACGCUUCCACUGUGGUUCAACAAGUACCGCCAGCUGACGGCGGCCAUCAACAUGACCUGCGGCGCUCUGGGCAUCUUCAUCCUAGCGCCGCUGCUGCAGGCGCUGAUCGAUUCGUACACCUGGCGCGGCGCGGUCCUCGUGGUGGCCGGCAUCGUGCUACAGGGGGCGCCCAGCGGCAUGACCUUCUUCCCGGCGAAACUGCCGGAAACCGCCAACCAGAAGAUGGCCAGUGUCGUUUCUGCGCGCAAUGUCCUGCUGAAAAACCUGGCCUAUUGGUUGCAUGUAGUGCAUGGUUUCCUUAUUUUUGGUGUUCCGCUCUUCCUCAUCUUCAUCGUGCGGCAUGUGGUGAAGCACCGCGGUUUUACCCCGCAGGAGGCGGCCAUGCUGGUCAGUGCCGUGGGUAUCUCCAACUUUUUCGGCCGCUUCAGCGCCGUGGCCAUCACGAUGAACCGCUUCACCCGCGGCAAGAACGUGCGGAUGGCCGCUUUUAACGCAUCCUCCCUUGGAGCGGCCGUGUCGAUCCUGUGUAUCCCGUUGAUCGGCGGCUUCUACGAGACCGUCGUGGUCUGCAUCGUGGCCGGCUUCUUACAGGGCUGCAAACUCGGUACCAUGCUCGGCGUCACUAUGGAUAUCACCACGCCGGCACUCUUCCAGACCGGCUAUGGUAUCUUUCACGGAGUCGCUGGCAUAUCUAUCCUUAUUUUUCCGCCUUUUGCCGGUUACCUGGCGGAAAGAGCCGGCAACUACAAUGCCUGUUUCUACUUGUCGGCCGUUGCUCUCUUCCUCUCCUUCCUCGUCGGGAUGGCCGUGCAUUAUUUAAUGUACCAAAAAGACAAGUUGCGCCAGACUUUUGAGGAGGGAACGGCCGCCGCCGGUGAUUCGCCGAAGGAAGCGGAAACCGGCAAAUUGUAAUCAAUAGCGUGCGACGAAUGCGGAAUGACAGACCUGCACGCGUAGAGAGCCCAGUUUCUCAUUGUUUUUACGCUUAUAAAUGCACACCGUCUCGGAGAAGACAAAGAGCGCACCAAUUAAUAAAGCGUCCGAUGUCUGGCUUAUUUACUUCGGAUGACGCGGAUCUACGUUUGACCAAUGCUGUUGUUUCUCAGCUGUUGUAGCCAAUGGCUAGCUAAAACAUCCUUGUUGGUUUCACGCCUACUAGAUGCCUGCGCGCAUCUCGAAGUCUAUAUAAGGCCAGCGGAAUGUGUCAGUCGAAUGAACUUGGAGAUUUCUCGAUUCUGUUCGGUUAUCUCACAGGUUUUCCUAUAAAUCGCUGUUACUCGUAGUUGUUCUCG
RNA transcript from Paramacrobiotus metropolitanus, 2029 nucleotides. It is a transcript of the gene named monocarboxylate transporter 12-like, with no coding region annotated. The record is from RefSeq and is a predicted model, not a curated record. Lineage: Eukaryota; Metazoa; Tardigrada; Eutardigrada; Parachela; Macrobiotidae. The transcript is spliced from 6 exons.